This 253-nucleotide ribosomal RNA is filed under the name uncultured bacterium. RNAcentral's name for it is "partial 16S ribosomal RNA". It matches the Rfam family "Bacterial small subunit ribosomal RNA", at positions 524 to 776 of the family's 1533-position model. The record is from RNAcentral.
UACGAAGGGUGCAAGCGUUACUCGGAAUUACUGGGCGUAAAGAGCGCGCAGGCGGUCGUUCAAGUCGCGUGUGAAAGCCCCCGGCUCAACUGGGGAGGGUCACGCGAUACUGAUCGACUGGAAGGCAGGAGAGGGUAGUGGAAUUCCCGGUGUAGUGGCGAAAUGCGUAGAUAUCGGGAGGAACACCAGUGGCGAAGGCGACUACCUGGCCUGUUCUUGACGCUGAGGCGCGAAAGCUAGGGGAGCAAACGGG